GUGGGGAAUAUUCCGCAAUGGACGAAAGUCUGACGGAGCAACGCCGCGUGAGUGAUGAAGGUUUUCGGACUGUAAAGCUCUGUUGUUUAGGACGAAAGUGCCUGUUGCGAACAGUUACAGGUAUUGACGGUACUAAACGAGGAAGCCACGGCUAACUACGUGCCAGCAGCCGCGGUAAUACGUAGGUGGCAAGCGUUGUCCGGAAUUAUUGGGCGUAAAGAGCAUGUAGGCGGAGAUUUAAGUCUGUUGUGAAAAUGCGGGGCUCAACCCCGUAUUGCGAUGGAAACUGGGUUUCUUGAGUGCAGGAGAGGAAAGGGGAAUUCCCAGUGUAGCGGUGAAAUGCGUAGAUAUUGGGAGGAACACCAGUGGCGAAGGCGCCUUUCUGGACUGUGUCUGACGCUGAGAUGCGAAAGCCAGGGUAGCGAACGGGAUUAGAUACCCCGGUAGUCC
This 450-nucleotide ribosomal RNA is filed under the name uncultured bacterium. Its description in RNAcentral is "partial 16S ribosomal RNA". It matches the Rfam family "Bacterial small subunit ribosomal RNA", at positions 354 to 796 of the family's 1533-position model. The record is from RNAcentral.